AGGGUCAUGUUAAAAGAAUAUUACAAUGUCAAUUUCAUCCAUCCUUUAUUUUGAAUUUGAGUAAGGUUACUUAAUGUUACUGUGAUAUAUAUGUAUAACUUAAACCUAUAAAGGCUACUAUCAGCUAUUUGUUUUGGGGGCACACGUCGUUUACAUAGCCCCUUCGACAAAUUUAGUUGAAUGACAAUGGUGUUAUUCGACAAUACAACUAUAAAAAAA
Molecule: unclassified non-coding RNA, 219 nt
Filed under: Hevea brasiliensis (rubber tree)
Lineage: Eukaryota; Viridiplantae; Streptophyta; Magnoliopsida; Malpighiales; Euphorbiaceae
Source: RNAcentral